AUGCAUGGCAGGAGAUGGUGAGUGAGCAUGGACUCCAGAAUGAUCCACAUUGCAUGGUCUGUAUGAGCACCGUUCAAGUUGGAUUGUUGCAUACUUCAAAGGCAUUUUCUGCGGGACAAUGACAUCGACUCAACGUUGUGAGAGCACCAACAGAAUGGUGAAAAGAUAUCACGUCGAUAAGUCAACACCUCUGCAUAUGUUUGCCAGAAGAAUGUACCAAAUGUUGCAAAGGAGAAAAUAUGAUGAAGGCCUAGAAAUAGUUUAUUCGCAGGACCCUCCUGAUACAAAAACAAACUACCCUCUAGAACAUCUACUAGGCAGAAUCUAUACCCGUGCAGUAUUCAGAAAAUACCAAGACACCUAUUUUGCUGCAACAUACUCCCUCCGUCCCAAAAUAGAGGGACCUACCUUUUCAUGGUCAUAGCAUGAGUUUAAAGUAGUUUGCAAUGAAGAGGAAGAAAAGUACACAUGUGAGUGCAGAGGGUGGGAGCAAGGUAAGCAAAAUAUGGAUCUCCAAAAUUUUACACAUGGAAAAUAGCAUGAUUGGAACUACAUUUAUAUUAAUUAUGCGUGUCAUUGUGCAGGACUGCUAUGCCCACACAUCAUCAUACUAUUGAUAAAUGAGCAGAUUUAGAAGAUCCCUAGCCAGUACGUGCUAAGAAGAUACUCGAGGAAUGCACAUAUUGACCUGCCCUAUGGCAGG
This is a long non-coding RNA of Lolium perenne, 703 nucleotides long. RefSeq lists it as uncharacterized. The record is from RefSeq and is a predicted model, not a curated record. NCBI's taxonomy places the organism in Eukaryota, Viridiplantae, Streptophyta, Magnoliopsida, Poales, Poaceae.